UUAAUUAAAAAAAAUAUCGAAAAUAAAAUGAGAGGAUCUUAACAUCAAAAAUAAAAUCACGAUAUAAUAAUAAUAAUUUAAGGGGAAUCAUUCAUAAUGACACAUAUAAUAAUCUAAUAAAAAAUACUGGAUUCAAUUGGCCGUGAACAGCCGUGGUGAAGACUGAAGAGAGCGCCCACAUUGUGCGUUGGCGCUCAUAUUAGUUCAGAGGGUUGAAUUGCCAGUACACGCAGAUUAGGCUCUCAUCUCCUGUUUUUACCUCAGGCUUGGCUUCUCGAAAUUAGUUCCUCCGUCUCUCUACCGUAUAAUCAAGACGCCUUGAAAAGCAUGGGAGGAAACGAAGUAUAUUAACAAAUGCAGAAGACCCACUCACUAUUAUUGAACUCCAAGAGACCUCUCUACCUGUGGAACCUCAAGGUUCUCAACUCGACCAAUGAUGGCCUCUUCUCUGAUACACUCUACCUCUAUUCUUCCAUGUUACGGAGUGGCGUUCAUGGCAAUCACUUCACGUUUCCUAUGGUCCUAAAAGCCUGCUCUAAUAUCAACUCCGUACUCCACGGUACUAUGAUUCAUUCCCAUGUACACCAACUGGGGUUUCAACAACAUGUAUUUGUGCAGACAGCUCUUCUAGAUAUGUAUUCCAAAUGCUAUGAACUCGAGUCUUCAAGGAAAGUGUUCGAUAAAAUGCCUGUGAGAACUGUUGUUUCUUGGAACUCCAUCAUCUCUGCUUAUUGUCGUUGUUCUUUGGUUGAUGAGGCCACUUUUCUGUUACACGAAAUGCGUGUUCUUGGUUUCAAACCGAGCUCCACUACGUUUCUUAAUUUUCUGCCUACUUGCGUUCUUCAACAAGGCUUAUCAAUCAAAUGCUGCGCAUAUAAAUUUGGACUUCUAAAUAUUCGUGAAAUUCCUUUAACUAAUGCCGUCAUGAAGAUGUAUGUUAAAUAUGGUAAGGUUCAUGAAGCUCGCUCAAUUUUUGAUAUGAUGCAUGAGAAGUCGGUCAUUUCUUGGACAACAGUUAUCGAUGGUUAUGUGGGUAUUGGUAAUGUUACUGAAGCAUUCAGCUUGUUUAAUCAAAUGAGAACAAGCAUUAGACCAGACUUUAUAGUCUUCAUGAGCCUUAUUUCAGGUUGUGCGCAAGAGGGGAAUUUGUUGGUUGCUUCAACAAUUCAUUCUCCCAUAGUUAAAUGUGGAUUUGAUAAUGAAGAUCCGAUUGACAACUUGCUUGUGAGAAUGUAUGCAAACUGUGAAGACCUUGUCUCAGCUCGAAGAGUAUUUGAUAUGGCACGUGAAAAAAGUGUCUUCUUGUGGACUUCUAUGAUUAGAGGGUAUACUCACUUGGGUUAUCCUCUUGAAGCUUUGGAACUUUUCAAGACAUUGUUAGGUACAGCUAUUAAGCCAGAUGAAGCAACCGUGACAACUGUCCUUUCAGCUUGUGCUGAUUUGGGGUCACUCAAUGUGGGCGAAGAGAUUGAAGGGUACAUUUUGGCUAACGGUUUGCACUCAAAUCUACAAGUCCAGACCUCUUUUAUGCACAUGCUCUGUAAAUGUGGGAAUUUAGAGAAGGCAAAGGCAGUAUUUGAGAGAUUAUCAACAAAAGAUUUAGCUGCUUGGAGUUCCAUGAUAAAUGGUUAUGCCAUCCAUGGUAUGGGAGAGGAAGCUCUCAGUCUCUUUCACAAGAUGCAAAAAACGGAAAUGAUAAAGCCAGAUGCUGCUAUCUACACAAGCAUAUUACUGGCUUGCAGCCAUUCAGGAUUGAUUGAAGAUGGAUUGAAAUUUUUUCAAAGCAUGCAAAUGGAUUUUGGAAUUGAACCCAGUAUAGAACAUUAUACCUGCUUGGUAGAUCUUCUUGGCAGAGCUGGUAAGCUUGAAUUGGCAUUGAAAACAAUCAAAGAGUUGCCUGUCAAAGUACAAGCUAAGGCAUGGGCUCCAUUUCUCAGCGCAUGCAGAAAACAUAGCAAGCUUGAGCUGGGGGAGUUUGCUGCUAGAAAGCUGUUUGAUUUGAAUCCUGGAAGCGUCGGCAAUUAUGUUGUAAUGGCCAAUUUAUAUGCACAUGCAGGUAAGUGGAAGGAGGCUGCGGUGACAAGACGGUUGUUGGAUGACAAAGGAUUGGUUAAAGAAUCAGGUUGGAGCUAUAUAGAGAUCAAUGGUUCUGUCCAUGUUUUUGUUGCUGGAGAUCGAUCACACUAUCAGUUGGGUGAUAUCUAUAACAAAUUAGAGGAACUAAAUGCUAAACUUUUAGAAGCUGGGUAUAUUCCAGAAGCAGAUAACGUGGUUCAUGACUUGGAAAAGGAAGAGAAGGAGGAAUCAUUGAAAGUUCAUAGCGAGAGACUGGCUAUAGCAUUUGGUCUCAUCAGUACUGAGGCAGGUACAACUCUGAGGAUUAUAAAAAACCUACGAACUUGUGAUGAUUGUCAUUCUGCUUUGAAAUGCAUCUCAAAAAUUACAGGAAGGCAUCUUAUUGUGAGAGAUGGUCAACGCUUCCACCAUUUUAAAUCUGGUUCCUGUUCAUGCAAGGAUUUCUGGUGAUUUUACUCCCUUGUACUGCUAAUUAUUCGCUUCUGGCCAAUAUGAUCUCAAAAUCAAUCAAGUACUUCAACUAUGAAGAGAUGUCAAGCUUUUGUUGGAAUUUGAUUUGGCUGGGAAGGAUUACUCUACUGCUCGUCAAGCAUAAACUAUUUUGGGUAUUGUUCAGGUAAAUAUAUCUCUAACUACAACUUUAGGCAAACAUUUAUAGAUAUAAACCCUCAAAUACCUGAUGAAAUAUCCUGACGGAUGGGUGAUAGAAUGGUAAGAAGAAUAUUUGACAAUCUGAUGCUCAGAUAUCUGAUUCUAUAGCGUUUGACCUUUUGCAUAAAGCUAAUGAUUCAUGUAAUGAACAUUUGGCUAUACUUGUUCCCCUGCCUUUUCAGGUCUUGAUGCUACGCAUCCUAGUUUCCUGCAAGUAGGCAGUAGCCACCAAGCUAAUAUGGAGCAAUAUAGCCAGUGUAUAUCUAGUUUAACAGGUGGAUGCCUACUGACAUUGAAUCAAUGUAAAAUAACAAUGGGCAGUUCAGUUGUUGAGAGUUUUCUAUGGAAUGACAUAGAAUAUGUCAAAGCAACAGGUAAGGUCAAACCAUUCAUUUAGGGAGCCGGCAUUAAAACGUGUUAUGACUUAUGAGGUUUUUGGACGCAACGCAAACCAGCCCAACACAUGCUAAAAGAUUGAUUCUUUGCAAGGAGGGAGUGGAAGUUCAGGUUCGGUUCAGUUACAUCUCAAAUGUGAUUAUCCUAAAUUGGUUUAUGGAGAAAUUUAUAAUUACAGAGGUUGCAUAUUUUUGUGGUCAAGAAGCGACACUAUCAAAUAAAAGGGUAAAGGCUUGAACUAAGGAUGCUGUUAAAAGGUUCUGGAUUACAUGCAUGAUUACUAGCUCACCAGAACUUCACAGUGGGAUCUUCAUAAUUUAGCAGUGAUGAGGCUAUUUGUUGAUGACAAGAAAAUUGGUCAAGAGAUGAUGGCACAGGAACCUCGUAGAAGGUCAAUGUAGUGCUAAUAAUGGAAGCUCUGCAUACAUAUGCGUUGUAGGGUUUUUGCAACAGAGGUCGGACUCGAGCUGCAGAUUGCCUCUGUGCAUGCCACGUUUGAAAUAUUCAAAUAUUCAAGUGAUACUCAGGCAGUUGAUUGCUUACUGCCGUUGCUAAAUUCCAUUAUGUAGAGCGCUAGGAUACAUUUUUCAAUAAGAGGGUAUAUUUCUUGCACCACUUGUACUCAAUAUGGUGAAUAUAUGCAAUUCAAAGGGAGAGAGAGAUUUAAAGAUGCAAGCUGAAAUUUGUAGGGUUUCUGUACAUUAUAUCUUGGUUCUGCUCGAGCACUUUAGCAAGUUAAAUUGGUUAAUAAAUUGAAAAAUCCAUUUUAG
This 3893-nucleotide unclassified non-coding RNA is filed under the name Hevea brasiliensis (rubber tree). The record is from RNAcentral. Lineage: Eukaryota; Viridiplantae; Streptophyta; Magnoliopsida; Malpighiales; Euphorbiaceae.